UACGACUACAUAUCAGGCAUAUCAAUAAGCGGAGGAAAAGAAACUAACUAGGAUUCCCUCAGUAACGGCGAGUGAAGCGGGAAGAGCUCAAAUUUGAAAUCUUCAAGGUUCUACCUUGACGAAUUGUAGUUUAAAGAAGUGUUUUCUGUUGAAGUUUUGGUAAAAGUUCUUUGGAAUAGGACAUCAUAGAGGGUGAGAAUCCCGUAUUUGACCAUUAUUUCCAGCUUUGUGAUAAUACACUUUCAAAGAGUCGGAUUGUUUGGGAAUGCAGUCCAAAAUGGGUGGUAAAUUUCAUCUAAAGCUAGAUAUUGGCGAGAGACCGAUAGCGAACAAGUACCGUGAGGGAAAGAUGAAAAGAACUUCGAAAAGAGAGUUAAACAGUACGUGAAAUUGUCAAAAGGGAAGCGUUUGACACCAGUGUUGUUUUCUCGAAAAUCAAUUAAAAAAAGUUGGAUUUUGUGUUGUAUUGACCUUAACAGCUUGCUUCACUCUUUUCCAGCUUUUUUUAAUGCACUUUUCGUUUAACAAGUCAACAUCAGUUUCUUUUGUUGUAAAAGGGUCAUUGGAAGGUGGCUUUCUCUUCGGAGAAAGUGUUUAUAGCCUUUGAUCUCUGCAAUCGGAGAGACUGAGGUCUGCAGCGUAGAUCCUUCGGGGUUAGAUACAUUUGUGCUAAGUUAUAGCUUUUCAUAGACAACUUGUUGACUAUGUUUAGUCUUGCUACUUACUCGCUUGUGCUAUUUUACCUACGCUUAGGAUGUUGAGCGCAUGUCUCUCUCU
This 777-nucleotide ribosomal RNA is filed under the name uncultured Neocallimastigales. RNAcentral's name for it is "partial large subunit ribosomal RNA". It matches the Rfam family "Eukaryotic large subunit ribosomal RNA", at positions 24 to 616 of the family's 3401-position model. Lineage: Eukaryota; Fungi; Neocallimastigomycota; Neocallimastigomycetes; Neocallimastigales. The record is from RNAcentral.